RNAcentral lists this non-coding RNA (26 nucleotides) under Rattus norvegicus (Norway rat). Lineage: Eukaryota; Metazoa; Chordata; Mammalia; Rodentia; Muridae. The record is from RNAcentral.
UGUCCCUUUGUCUGUUUUCUCUUUCC